AUUGCUAAUAACCGACCAUAACAACAAAAGACCACAUAGCCGUUUGUCUUUGAAAGAUGGCUUUGACUAUCACUCUGGGAUGGACCUGCGGUGCAUUAGCUAGUUGGUAAGGUAACGGCUUACCAAGGCGAUGAUGCAUAGCCGAGUUGAGAGACUGAUCGGCCACAAUGGAACUGAGACACGGUCCAUACUCCUACGGGAGGCAGCAGUAGGGAAUCUUCCACAAUGGGCGCAAGCCUGAUGGAGCAACACCGCGUGAGUGAAGAAGGGUUUCGGCUCGUAAAGCUCUGUUGUUGGAGAAGAACGUGCGUGAGAGUAACUGUUCACGCAGUGACGGUAUCCAACCAGAAAGUCACGGCUAACUACGUGCC
Molecule: ribosomal RNA, 371 nt
Filed under: uncultured bacterium
Lineage: Bacteria
Description: bacterial SSU rRNA
Rfam family: Bacterial small subunit ribosomal RNA
Source: RNAcentral